GUUCGCGCGCUUGGCGGCGAACGGUUUGUCGGUGCACGAGCUUGGAGGGUGGGAGUCAUGUGACGCUCCAUCGUUUACAACAACACCUUGCUGCAUUUAUGUUGCGCCUUUAAUGUCGAAAGAUCAAUCAAGGCCAUUUGCCUGAGGGUAAUCAAGCAAGAUCGGCCGGUGGAAGAGAUUGCCUGCCUGCUGACUAUUUGCUUGGUUUCCUCCUGAUGACAAAAGUUAAAAAGCAGCCGAACAACAGACUUGCUACCCAGAUGCAGCCUGACUUGCUGAGUAUUUCCAGCAUUUUCUGUUUUCAUAACACAAAAGGCUAGGAUUUUUUUGGGAGACACAGGAGACCUCAGCUGCCGGAAUCUGGAGCAAAAAAAAGAUGCUGGUGGAACUCAGCAGUCAAGCAGCAUCUGUGGAGUGACACGGACAGUUGACGUUUUCUGUCGGGACCCUUCAUCUGGAUCUGGGAUAUUUUUUCUCCAGAUGUCAGCAGGAUUUAUCUGUUCACAUAACCGAGUUGUGUGGAGAAGCUGUGAACACCCAAGACAGAGUCCAAAAGUCAGACAUUUUAUAAACGAUUUUUGUGUGGUUUGUAUCAGCUCUACAACUGCAGGAAUGCUACCUCCUCAAUUCCUACUUGUUGAGAGUAACAAAUUACUGGCUGAGUUAGCGGUUAACAGGCCUUUCAGUUAAACAUCAGAGUGUAGUUAUGAGGGAGGCCUGACUAAUCCUUCUGAUGACACAUCCCUCGAACAAGCAGUAGGUGCCAGAGGUGGGGGUGGAGGCAAAUACAAGAAAGGUGUUUCAAAGGCUCUUAGAUAGGCACAUGAAUGUGCAGAGAAUGGAGGGAUAUGGACAUUGUGUAGGCAGGAAGGACUAGUUUAGUAAGGCAUUUAAUUACUAGUUUAAUUAGUUUGGCACAACAUUGUGGGCAGAAGGGCCUUUUCCUGUGCUGUACUGUUCAAUGUUCCAUGUUCUAACCCAUGAGAGCAUCAGGAACAUCUUGGUGUAUGAGGCAGAUUAUGGAACCCUGCUCACUCUGGUGACUGCCAACAAUGUGACCUGGUUAAAGUCAGCAAUCUUUUUGCAGCCUUGCAUCCCCUGUGACCUGAUAUUGCAAAGAGGAUUGGAGGGAUAGGGGCCCUGCAGCUAAUGGAGUGGUCAAUAGGUGAGGAAGGUUAGAGAGAAUGGGAAGAAAGAGAAACACAUUGAAGCUAAGGAGGCCAGAGUAAAAUUAAAAGAGCAGCACCUUCAUUGGCUCUUUCAGUUCUUUUACUUCAAUGACCCUUGAUUCUCUAUGAAGGAACAUUGAACCUUCAGGCUCUGGUGCCAAGGCCAUUCUAGCAGUGCAGGCUGAGAAGCUAAUGUUGCAAAAAGCAGCUUUUGAUUUUAUUCCAAACACAUUAUUGAACUGAAUUCUCAUUUUCAUCCACUGGACAACAUGUUCUCAACUUUACAAACUACUUACCUCUAAAA
Molecule: long non-coding RNA, 1473 nt
Organism: Pristis pectinata (smalltooth sawfish)
Lineage: Eukaryota; Metazoa; Chordata; Chondrichthyes; Rhinopristiformes; Pristidae
Exons: 5
Source: RefSeq, a predicted model, not a curated record